Molecule: non-coding RNA, 165 nt
Organism: Pelobates cultripes (western spadefoot toad)
Lineage: Eukaryota; Metazoa; Chordata; Amphibia; Anura; Pelobatidae
Source: the annotation of a GenBank genome assembly
GGUCAGCUGACACAUCCCUGCCAAUCUCCGGCAGACCCUCCCUCCCAGACCCUCCUACUUCCUGGACAGCAUCCAUGUUGAAGGCAGCUUCAACAUGGAUGCUGUCCAGGAGGUGGGAGGGUCUGGGAGGGAGGGUCUCGGAGAUUGGCAGGGAUGUGUUCCGGA